CCUACGGGUGGCUGCAGUGGGGAAUAUUGGACAAUGGGGGGAACCCUGAUCCAGCCAUGCCGCGUGUGUGAAGAAGGCCCUCGGGUUGUAAAGCACUUUCAGUGAGGAAGAACGCCUGGUGGUUAAUACCCAUCAGGAAAGACAUCACUCACAGAAGAAGCACCGGCUAACUCCGUGCCAGCAGCCGCGGUAAUACGGAGGGUGCGAGCGUUAAUCGGAAUUACUGGGCGUAAAGCGCGCGUAGGUGGCUUGAUAAGCCGGUUGUGAAAGCCCCGGGCUCAACCUGGGAACGGCAUCCGGAACUGUCAAGCUAGAGGGCAGGAGAGGAAGGUAGAAUUCCCGGUGUAGCGGUGAAAUGCGUAGAGAUCGGGAGGAAUACCAGUGGCGAAGGCGGCCUUCUGGACUGACACUGACACUGAGGUGCGAAAGCGUGGGUAGCAAACAGGAUUAGAUACCCUAGUAGUC
Molecule: ribosomal RNA, 465 nt
Filed under: Vreelandella stevensii
Lineage: Bacteria; Pseudomonadati; Pseudomonadota; Gammaproteobacteria; Oceanospirillales; Halomonadaceae
Description: partial 16S ribosomal RNA
Rfam family: Bacterial small subunit ribosomal RNA
Source: RNAcentral